UUAAGGUAAUGCUUGGAUACAUUCCAACUCGACAUUUUUAUUCUCCCUACGCAACAAAGACAACCUUGCUCCAUUUAUUGCCAACAUCAAGCAAGGUCAGGAGCACAAAGCAAUCUUGUGUUACCCUGAUUAUGGACCGGUCUUUGGUGGAAAUAAUGAUCUGCGUAUUUGUAGCAAUCCUCAAGUUAAUCAAUCAUACAGCAAUUUUGGACACACAUAUCAACUUCCCCCUGGUUAUGUCUAUGACAGUGAACAAACAAAGAACCUUCUUGCUGGUCAGUACAAAUUCUUAACGACAGAAAUUGAAGUUUUCAACUGAAAAGUGCCUUUG
Non-coding RNA from Paramuricea clavata, 331 nucleotides. The record is from the annotation of a GenBank genome assembly. NCBI's taxonomy places the organism in Eukaryota, Metazoa, Cnidaria, Anthozoa, Malacalcyonacea, Plexauridae.